Molecule: ribosomal RNA, 119 nt
Filed under: Salmo salar (Atlantic salmon)
Lineage: Eukaryota; Metazoa; Chordata; Actinopteri; Salmoniformes; Salmonidae
Source: RNAcentral
GCUUACGGCCAUACCAGCCUGGGUACGCCCGAUCUCGUCUGAUCUCGGAAGCUAAGCAGGGUCGGGCCUGGUUAGUACUUGGAUGGGAGACCGCCUGGGAAUACCAGGUGCUCUAAGCA